UUUAUUAUUAUUAUUGUUUAAUAUAUAGUAGAAAUCAAAAUUUGCAGAUUUAUUAUUAAUUAUACACAAAGAAAAAAGGGAAUGAAAGUGUUUGGUCGUGGUUAUUGUUAACCGGUGGUGGUGGUGAGGAAAAUGGAUUCGGCGAGGAGUUGGUUAUCGAAGUUUCAACCGCGAGAUAAAUUAAGAGCUUCAACGAGGAAGAAAGAUGAUGUUAAUAUCGGUAAUAUCGGAAUUGAAGAUUCCAAUGCACCUCU
Molecule: long non-coding RNA, 254 nt
Filed under: Trifolium pratense (red clover)
Lineage: Eukaryota; Viridiplantae; Streptophyta; Magnoliopsida; Fabales; Fabaceae
Description: long non-coding RNA (TPRA_LNC007291)
Source: RNAcentral